CUGGGAAGUCGUCCGGCUACACAGAAGAGCAGGAAGAUGUUCAAAAGGCCAUUUAGCGGAGAGGCCACUUGGGUGACUCAAUUGAGCCAAGUGAUUUGUCACAGACCUGAGAGCAGUCAGAACCUGAGCGUCAUCUUUGGAGUUUUCACACAAACUCUCCAGCGCCUUCAUGGCCGUUUCCUGCUGUUCAUUCUGUCACAGAGGAACAAACAUCCUCAUCAGUGUAAAUACCACCACCCACCGGUCAUAUUCAUCUCAAUCACACGGUCCUCUGCACAGGCGCCCUCACCAACCAGGAUGACUGCAGUGACAAGGACGUGAUCUCUCACCGGCUUCCCACCCGCAAACUGUGCCAACUGGUAAACUGUUACAGGUCCAGUGUGUAACAUUUCGGUGGAUCUAUUGUCCGAAAUGGAAUAUAAUAUCCACGGGUAUGUUUUUAUUAGUGUAUAAUAACCUGAAUAUAGGAAUCAUUGUGUUUUUGUUGAGCCAUGAGCCGUUUUUAUCUACAGACGGAGCGGGUCCUCUUCUACUGUGUCCGCCCUGUUGAACUGCCAUGUUUCUACAGUAACCCAGCAUGGACCAACUAAACACGCCUUUCACGGCAAACACAGCUUCUCCUUGUUUUUCAGUUUGUUGCAAUCAGCAACUUCACCGCUACAUGCCACUAAAUCCUACAUACUGAUCCUUUAAAUUUUCUGUUCAAGCUGCAAGUACCACUGUUGAGAACUAAACCCACGUUUUUUAACCCCAUAACAUCAUAACAAUACCAUAAAGGUGGGAAAUGUGACCAUAGCGGACCAAACUAAUUAUUUUCCCAUAUAUUCCACACAUUCUACAACUGGUGUGCAGAACUGAGUCAUCUGUCCUGUGAUGCGUCCUACCUCCAAA
Dicentrarchus labrax (European seabass) is the source of this 891-nucleotide long non-coding RNA. RefSeq lists it as uncharacterized. The record is from RefSeq and is a predicted model, not a curated record. NCBI's taxonomy places the organism in Eukaryota, Metazoa, Chordata, Actinopteri, Moronidae. The transcript has 3 exons.